This is a non-coding RNA of Arvicanthis niloticus (Nile rat), 229 nucleotides long. Lineage: Eukaryota; Metazoa; Chordata; Mammalia; Rodentia; Muridae. The record is from RefSeq and is a predicted model, not a curated record.
GGACUGACGACUUCUCUAUUGUUGGAGCCAUUUUGGAUUAACUGGACCACAGUCUCUGCUGUUGAGCGGGGUUCCAGUGAGGAGUUUUUGUUCUACCACGGGGAGUCCUCUGACCUCCACAGGAACACAGUGGCCGUCCUGUGCUCACACUUACAAUAAAACGAAAUGUUGAGCUGCUCACGUCCCUGCUUCAUUUCCCCAGCAUAGGACUUCGAUCCCUUACCCAAUG